Molecule: ribosomal RNA, 253 nt
Filed under: uncultured bacterium
Lineage: Bacteria
Description: partial 16S ribosomal RNA
Rfam family: Bacterial small subunit ribosomal RNA
Source: RNAcentral
UACGUAGGUGGCAAGCGUUGUCCGGAAUUAUUGGGCGUAAAGCGCGCGUAGGCGGAUCAUCAAGUCGGGGGUGAAAUCCCGGGGCUCAACCUCGGAAUGGCCUUCAAAACUCCUGGUCUUGAGUUCGAGAGAGGUGAGUGGAAUUCCGAGUGUAGAGGUGAAAUUCGUAGAUAUUCGGAGGAACACCAGUGGCGAAGGCGGCUCGCUGGCUCGAACCUGACGCUGAGGUGCGAAAGCGUGGGGAGCAAACAGG